This 338-nucleotide unclassified non-coding RNA is filed under the name soil metagenome. RNAcentral describes it as "partial contains 5.8S ribosomal RNA, internal transcribed spacer 2, and large subunit ribosomal RNA". The stretch from base 1 to 120 matches the Rfam family "5.8S ribosomal RNA", at positions 35 to 154 of the family's 154-position model. The record is from RNAcentral.
GAUGAAGAACGUAGUGAAAUGCGAUAAGUAAUGUGAAUUGCAGAAUUCAGUGAAUCAUCGAAUCUUUGAACGCACAUUGCGCCCGGCAGUACUCUGCCGGGCAUGCCUGUUCGAGCGUCAUUUCAACCCUCAAGCCCUGCUUGGUGUUGGGGCCCCACGGCAGCCGUGGGCCCUGAAAGGAAGUGGCGGGCUCGCUACAACUCCGAGCGUAGUAAUUCAUUAUCUCGCUUAGGGCGUUGGGCGGCGCUCCAGCCGUUAAAGAACCAUCUUUAACUCAAGGUUGACCUCGGAUCAGGUAGGAAUACCCGCUGAACUUAAGCAUAUCAAUAAGCGGAGGA